UAUAUCUGCUUUGUUUUUCAGUUGGUGUUGCUGGUGACAGGACUGUCCAGCGCAGAGCGUUACCCCUGCUCCACAUGCAACUGCACAGCGGCAGAAUUUCUAAGUGUUUCAAAUCAUCUCAUAUACCCCAUUUUAAAUUAUGACGUCAGCACUACAUCUCUGUCUCCUUGGACAUACAAAUGCACUAAGGAUAUGGACAGGAUUCCAAUGGUGCUUUGUAAUGCGGUCUGUGAUCAGCCAUGCUGGAAGUUCAGCAAAGCUGCCAAACCAGCAGGAAUAAAGGUGCGAAUAAGCACUUUUCGAAGGCAUCCAUGUGAUAAUGGCCGCUACAGACUCUCCAGAACACAGUAUAAACUGAUUGUUGGAUGCACUUGUGUUAAAUAAUGCGUUAUAAAGAAAUGUUAUGCAUGACAUUACCAUUAUGUGUGUAUUUAAAUAGAUUUUUAUUUAUUUAUUUUUUUUAUUUUACUGUUAUAUACUAAUGUAAUAUACUGCUGUAUGUUGUCAAAUUUACCAGGUUGUAACCAUGCAUGUGCAACAUGCUGUGCAAACAUUUUUUCAAGAAUCAAAAGUGAAAUAAAGCUUUAAGAUUUUU
This is a non-coding RNA of Danio rerio (zebrafish), 595 nucleotides long. The record is from RefSeq and is a predicted model, not a curated record. Lineage: Eukaryota; Metazoa; Chordata; Actinopteri; Cypriniformes; Danionidae.